Molecule: small nuclear RNA, 188 nt
Organism: Bacillus rossius redtenbacheri
Lineage: Eukaryota; Metazoa; Arthropoda; Insecta; Phasmatodea; Bacillidae
Product: U2 spliceosomal RNA
Exons: 1
Source: RefSeq, a predicted model, not a curated record
UUCUCUGUGAACUGUACUUUUAUGUGCCGGAACUCUUUUAUCAGCUUAACAUCUGAUACGUCCUGCAUCGCAGGACCAGAAUAUAUAUUAAACUAAUUUUUGGAACAGGGCGGAGUGCUAGGGGCUUGCCCCACCUCCGCCGCGGUUUGGCCCGGUAUUGAAGUUCCACCGGGAUCUGCCCACCACAA